CUUUUACUUGCAAGAGUACUAUCGAUUCGAGACUCCUCAAGAUGAAGAGAUUGGCCGUCAAAUUUUUGAGGAGGUGGCCACACGUAGGCUCCAGGAUAAGCUAUACAACCUUAGUAGUCCAUCAUAGAGCACUCUAGUUUUGAGUCACCAUCGGAUUGAAAGUCUUACAUAGAUCACUAGAUACAGGCAGGCAUAUGGGAGGCCCUUU
RNAcentral lists this long non-coding RNA (208 nucleotides) under Elaeis guineensis (African oil palm). RNAcentral describes it as "long non-coding RNA (EGUI_LNC039592)". Lineage: Eukaryota; Viridiplantae; Streptophyta; Magnoliopsida; Arecales; Arecaceae. The record is from RNAcentral.